UACAUAAUAACGGUAAAGGAAUUAAACAAAUGUAUAAAUGUGCCUUAACCAUGAUUAGUUAAAACUGUAAUUAUACACUUUCUAGUUAGUUAUGCAGAUAGCUGAGUUAAUUGAUCAUGUUAGCUUCUCGAAUCAAGUACAGUUAGUUACAAUUUUGUUAGAGCUGAGUCAGUUAGAAAUAUUGUAUAUAAGUGGUCCCACUGUAUAGAAUGAUGUAAUCAAGGAAGCAGAAUACAUUCUUUUCUCAUGAUUAUUUUUCCAGUGUUCUUAGCUAUAUUUCAGUGUUCUUAGCUUAUGUACAGUUCAAACAACAAUUCAUUAAAGUCUUCAUGGUAUACGAGCAAGGAUCGAUCAUGUUGCAGGAACUCUCAGUUGAUUUCAUCCAUGGCAAUUCCCCCGAUCAAUCAUUUACAUCCUCUCUACCUACAUCCAUUAGAUGCACAUGGUUCUCUUAAUGUCGGGAUCAUGCUCACUGGAACUGCGAUGCGAUUGACCGUGCUUGGGAAGAACAAAGUAGACUUCAUCGACGGAUCAAUGAUGAGGGAUCAGUUUUCAUGAAAUUUAGAUCGACUUUGGCACAGAUGCAAUGCGAUAGUCGUCUCAUGGAUUCUCUGCAAUGUAAGUAAAGAUUUGCAUAGUGGAGUUCUUUUCUGUUCAGAUUCGCAAUUGAUCUAGGCAGAUUUUAAGGAGAGAUUUAACAAGGUUAACAGUUGUAGGAUUUGGGAGAAAAUAUAUGCAAGACCAAAUUGGUGCGAUGGUUGCGCUUUUGGUUAUAUCUUUUUUUUUUGCUGACAAGGGAAAUCCGCAGCCGCUACCCUUUGGGUGCGCACAGGGUAAAACAUCCUUCUAUGCAAUAGCUCGCAAACCACAUAGGAGAGGUAACCUGCACCAGGCAAGCCUGGUGCAACGAGCUCGACCCAAAAGGCAAACCCCUUGCUUUCGCUGGCAAGGGGUUGCACUUUUGGUUAUAUCUAUAAUCCCAAUAUCUGCUUCUUUUUUCUCUUGUUCUCCUGGUAUGUGUUUAAUCUCUUAAUUGCUAGCUGUUGCAUUCUAUGAAGUAGAUUGGUAUGAGUUAAUGUCAUUAUAUUGCGGAAAUAAUUGUAUCUUAGAGACUCAUUCCGAGUAUGCACAUUCUUUGGACCAUAACAUGAUGCCUCCUUUAGAACUGGAGUAACAUUUCUUGCAUGCAUCUCCCUGGAAGAAUUAUAUCCAGUUUGAUCAUCACUGUUCUUUAGACCAUAGCAUGAUGCCUCCUUAUUAUUGCUUAGUACUUGUGAAGCUGAGUCUCUUACAUGUAACUAAGCAACUCUGAUGCAUCUAGAAGCACAGAAAAAUUUUUCUUAGAAGGAAUAGAUAUGAAUGCCAUUGCUUGCAAGAAUCUUAGAGAUUGACAGAAAUUCUUAGAAGUUUAUGCUGUAGAAUAGUGUCCAGGGUUAUUAAAGGCACCCCCAACCGAAGCAUUGCAGGGCUAGCUGCAUUUGAAGUAAGAUCUUCUUGUCUUUCUAUAUAUGGCAAAGAUACCUGCAAGACCAAAACCUUAUUAUUAGUUUGUCCGUCUCUUAAACCGACUCUCCAGGGUUCAUGCAGGGUGGAGGGGGUGGGGUGAGGACCAUUUUCCUCACAAGAAAUUGUGGCCUAGAUAAGUUGAGACUUGUCUGAGUGACAUUUGAAGAACCAGGGGAUGGUACUCCUCCAUUCAAUGUCAUUUACUUCACUUCUUGGCAAGCCAUUUAAUGUCAUUAACUUCACUUCUUGGCAAGAUUUUAGUUGAGAAGCUGAGUCUUGUUGCCUGUCCAAGAGGGUGUCCUUUGCUGGAAAAUUAAAUUGUUGAAAUAGCUCAACUGCUUUUUACGUAUAUAUGCUAUAUGUUGAAUCCUCUUUAGUUUUUUCAGCGCCUACUGCUUUAUAUUUUGACUUUUGUUAGUGAAAAUCUUGGCUCGGCUCCGUGUAGUGCAUCCAUUUGGGACUGAAUGGUUCACAAAGUUGUUUUUGGUCUUAAUUAUGUAGUCAGAAGUGCUAGUGACUAUCAUUUAGCAUUAGCCAAAUCUGUAACAUGUCUACUUUGCUGCUGUUGCUAUGCAUAUAUUCUUGAUGAUUAGAUGUCUUGAGGGGCUAGAUUUGUCUAAGUAGUGUCGUUUUAGUUGCUGGUUAGAGUUAUGCAAAUAUUAGUUAUAUAAAGAUUAAUUAUGAAAAAAUUAGUAGUAAUAUAGAGAUUAGUCUGGCAAAAAUCAAAUUAGUUAUGUGGAAAUUAAUUACAUAGAGAAUCGUGAAAAAGAGAUUAUUUAUAUAUGAAAUGUAAGAUCUCUGUAUAAAAUGAUAAGUUUUCCUAUUAGUUAUUCGAUCUUCUAUUCUACGCAAAAUGAUACAUCUAUAUUUGGAAAAACAUGAACCCAACAUUUUUAUAUGGAAAAGAAAAAAAUAAUUAUGAAGACAACCAAACAAGCACUUGUUUCUUUGGGGUGCGUGGGGCCAGAAAAUGACUUUGUUUUGUGAAAUUAGUAAAGCUCAUUAUGUACUCAUUGUAGAAUAUGUAAUUGUUUUUGCCUUUUUAUUACUAAGGUUUUGAAAAUUUUCAAAUUUGUUUUGGUAGAAACAUUAUUUUAUUUAUAAAAUUUAGGAAAUUAGAGAAAUUUUGGUGCCAAAUGCCUAAAACCUAAAAGUACGAAAUGAAAAAAAAAAGAAAAGAAAAAUCUAGCUUAGAAUGUUUGUGUAGAGAAGUUUUUGAAUGGAAAAAAUCCUUGAUAGAAAAUAUUUCCCUCUAAUGAAGCCUUAAUGCGAAUUUGAAACAGUCAAAUUUUAAUGUGUAUACCG
Molecule: long non-coding RNA, 2811 nt
Organism: Solanum pennellii
Lineage: Eukaryota; Viridiplantae; Streptophyta; Magnoliopsida; Solanales; Solanaceae
Exons: 2
Source: RefSeq, a predicted model, not a curated record